AUACGGAGGGAGCGAGCGUUAAUCGGAAUUACUGGGCGUAAAGCGCGCGUAGGCGGCUUUGUAUGUCGGAUGUGAAAGCCCAGGGCUCAACCCUGGAAUUGCAUUCGAUACUGCAUGGCUAGAGUAUGGUAGAGGGAAGUGGAAUUUCCGGUGUAGCGGUGAAAUGCGUAGAUAUCGGAAGGAACACCAGUGGCGAAGGCGACUUCCUGGGCCAAUACUGACGCUGAGGUGCGAAAGCGUGGGGAGCAAACAGGAUUAGAAACCCCAGUAGUCC
Molecule: ribosomal RNA, 274 nt
Filed under: uncultured bacterium
Lineage: Bacteria
Description: partial 16S ribosomal RNA
Rfam family: Bacterial small subunit ribosomal RNA
Source: RNAcentral